Molecule: ribosomal RNA, 262 nt
Filed under: uncultured bacterium
Lineage: Bacteria
Description: partial 16S ribosomal RNA
Rfam family: Bacterial small subunit ribosomal RNA
Source: RNAcentral
CACUCCUACGGGACGCAGCAGUAGGGAAUCUUCCACAAUGGACGAAAGUCUGAUGGAGCAACGCCGCGUGAGUGAAGAAGGGUUUCGGCUCGUAAAACUCUGUUGGUAGUGAAGAAAGAUAGAGGUAGUAACUGGCCUUUUUUUGACGGUAAUUACUUAGAAAGUCACGGCUAACUACGUGCCAGCCGCCGCGGUAAUACGUAGGGGGCAAGCGUUGUCCGGAUUUAUUGGGCGUAGAGCGCGUGCAGGCGGUUUUAUAAGU